Molecule: long non-coding RNA, 882 nt
Organism: Eriocheir sinensis (Chinese mitten crab)
Lineage: Eukaryota; Metazoa; Arthropoda; Malacostraca; Decapoda; Varunidae
Exons: 3
Source: RefSeq, a predicted model, not a curated record
AUAAAGAGACGCAAACCUGGGUAAAGUAUAUUAUUUCCCGACCAGCAGGUACCGUGUUUGACCACUUGGCACCAAACGAUAACUUGUAUUCCGGAAUCCAGAAAAAGAAAAAGAUAACCGAUUUCACUAUAUAGGAAAAGUACCUCUUUGACAGUUCUCCAGGCGGCCGCGCGUUCCACUGCAUGUAUAGCCAAAACAGUUUAUUAAGAAGUGGAAUGAUUUACACGGGCCUCUGCGGUGGCUGAGUGGUUAGCGUGUCGGCCCCGCAUUUGCCGCGUUGUGGAUGAUGCGGGAUCGAAUCCGCCGCUACCACCUGGAAUUUUUCAGUCACCGCCGAGUGGCCUAAGACCACCAACAUCCUGUCCUGGCGGCGGAUGCUCAAACGGUCGUAUCUCAACAUUUGGUCCUAAAUCCGCCAUUGUGGUCGCAAGUGCUGCCCCGUGCGAUGUUCAAAAAACGUCCUAGACGCCAUCUUGUGACGUCAGGUCGCCCCUCAGCCUGACUGCUCGGGAGCGGGGCUAGAUCCGACCAGUUUCCGUCCUAGCCCGUCGCCAUUAAAGGAGUGUUUCCGCCUCAUCCACAUCUCCACCUCUAUACACAAUAUAAGAUGGAGCUUGUUGCGGCAUACAUUUUCAAUCGCAGACUGUGCAGGGAAAGGAGAUAUCGGGACCCACUCAACCCACUACAUGUCAGUGAUGAACACCUGUUGCAGGUGUAUAGAUUUCCCCGUCAAGAAAUCAUCAGGCUCUGUGAUGAGUUUCGCCCCCACCUGGAAAGGAGAACCAGGAGGGCACAUGCACUCCCAACACACACCCAGGAGACACUGCGUAUCCUCUGGAGCCAUUCCUGAUGACCCCAGUUGCACGGCCGACAACACCUGGG